GAUGUAUACGGGCUGACGCCUGCCCAGUGCUGGAAGGUUAAGGGGAAUUGUUAGCGCAAGCGAAGCAAGGAACUUAAGCCCCAGUGAACGGCGGCCGUAACUAUAACGGUCCUAAGGUAGCGAAAUUCCUUGUCGGGUAAGUUCCGACCCGCACGAAUGGCGUAACGACUUGGGCACUGUCUCAACAAUGUACCCGGCGAAAUUGUAGUAUGAGUGAAGAUGCUCAUUACCCGCGAUAGGACGGAAAGACCCCGUAGAGCUUUACUGCAACUUGGCAUUGGAUUUUGGUAUUAGAUGUACAGGAUAGGUGGGAGACUGAGAAGCGAUGACGCCAGUUGUCGCAGAGUCACUGUUGGGAUACCACCCUUCUAAUACUAGGAUUCUAACUUAAGGCCGUGAACCGGCUUAAGGACAGUACCAGGUGGGCAGUUUGACUGGGGCGGUCGCCUCCGAAAGAGUAACGGAGGCGCCCAAAGGUUUCCUCAGAAUGGUCGGAAAUCAUUCAUUAGAGUGCAAAUGCAUAAGGGAGCUUGACUGCGAGAGAGACAUCUCGAGCAGGGACGAAAGUCGGGAUUAGUGAUCCGGCGGUAUGAGAGUGGAAUUGCCGUCGCUCAACGGAUAAAAGCUACCUCGGGGAUAACAGGCUUAUCUCCCCCAAGAGUCCACAUCGACGGGGAGGUUUGGCACCUCGAUGUCGGCUCGUCGCAUCCUGGGGCUGAAGCAGGUCCCAAGGGUUUGGC
RNAcentral lists this non-coding RNA (740 nucleotides) under Christensenella hongkongensis. Its description in RNAcentral is "Catabacter hongkongensis Bacterial large subunit ribosomal RNA". It matches the Rfam family "Bacterial large subunit ribosomal RNA", at positions 1840 to 2577 of the family's 2925-position model. The record is from Rfam by way of RNAcentral. Lineage: Bacteria; Bacillati; Bacillota; Clostridia; Christensenellales; Christensenellaceae.